GCCCGCAUGGCUCAGUGGUAGAGCGUGUCACUCGUAUUCUUCAAUGACAAGGUCGCUAGUUCGAUUCUGGCUGUGGGCA
Madurella mycetomatis is the source of this 79-nucleotide transfer RNA. It matches the Rfam family "tRNA". Rfam says of the family: Transfer RNA (tRNA) molecules are approximately 80 nucleotides in length. Their secondary structure includes four short double-helical elements and three loops (D, anti-codon, and T loops). Further hydrogen bonds mediate the characteristic L-shaped molecular structure. tRNAs have two regions of fundamental functional importance: the anti-codon, which is responsible for specific mRNA codon recognition, and the 3' end, to which the tRNAs corresponding amino acid is attached (by aminoacyl-tRNA synthetases). tRNAs cope with the degeneracy of the genetic code in two manners: having more than one tRNA (with a specific anti-codon) for a particular amino acid; and 'wobble' base-pairing, i.e. permitting non-standard base-pairing at the 3rd anti-codon position. Lineage: Eukaryota; Fungi; Ascomycota; Sordariomycetes; Sordariales. The record is from Rfam.